UCCCUGGUGGCUCAAUGGUAAAGAAUCUGCCUGCAAAGCAGGAGACCCAGGUUUGAUCCCUGGGUGGGGAA
Molecule: transfer RNA, 71 nt
Filed under: Bos taurus (domestic cattle)
Lineage: Eukaryota; Metazoa; Chordata; Mammalia; Artiodactyla; Bovidae
Also listed under: 5 other names
Rfam family: tRNA
About the family: Transfer RNA (tRNA) molecules are approximately 80 nucleotides in length.
Source: Rfam by way of RNAcentral